CCAAUAGCGUAUAUUAAAGUUGUUGCAGUUAAAAAGCUCGUAGUUGAACUUCGGGGUUUACUCAUUGGUCAGGCUUAAUUGUCUGUACUGGUUAGAUGAAUCUCUACCUUCUGAGGAACUUUCAUGCCAUUUGUUUGGUGUGAUUGGAAAUCAGGACUGUUACUUUGAAAAAAUUAGAGUGUUUAAAGCAGGCUAACGUCUGAAUACAUUAGCAUGGAAUAAUGAAAUAGGACGGAUUGAUUCUAUUUCGUUGGUUUCUAGGGUCACCGUACUGAUUAAU
This 280-nucleotide ribosomal RNA is filed under the name uncultured Diversispora. RNAcentral's name for it is "partial 18S small subunit ribosomal RNA". It matches the Rfam family "Eukaryotic small subunit ribosomal RNA", at positions 591 to 873 of the family's 1831-position model. Lineage: Eukaryota; Fungi; Glomeromycota; Glomeromycetes; Diversisporales; Diversisporaceae. The record is from RNAcentral.